GACGAACGCUGGCGGCGUGCUUAACACAUGCAAGUCGAACGGAAAGGCCCUGCUUUUGUGGGGUGCUCGAGUGGCGAACGGGUGAGUAACACGUGAGUAACCUGCCCUUGACUUUGGGAUAACUUCAGGAAACUGGGGCUAAUACCGGAUAGGAGCUCCUGCUGCAUGGUGGGGGUUGGAAAGUUUCGGCGGUUGGGGAUGGACUCGCGGCUUAUCAGCUUGUUGGUGGGGUAGUGGCUUACCAAGGCUUUGACGGGUAGCCGGCCUGAGAGGGUGACCGGCCACAUUGGGACUGAGAUACGGCCCAGAAUCCUACGGGACGCAGCAGUGGGGAAUAUUGCACAAUGGGCGGAAGCCUGAUGCAGCAACGCCGCGUGCGGGAUGACGGCUUUCGGGUUGUAAACCGCUUUCGCCUGUGACGAAGCGUGAGUGACGGUAAUGGGUAAAGAAGCACCGGCUAACUACGUG
RNAcentral lists this ribosomal RNA (468 nucleotides) under uncultured bacterium. RNAcentral describes it as "partial 16S ribosomal RNA". It matches the Rfam family "Bacterial small subunit ribosomal RNA", at positions 28 to 507 of the family's 1533-position model. The record is from RNAcentral.